UGCCUUACACAUGCAAGUCGGACGGCAGCGCGGGCUUCGGCCUGGCGGCGAGUGGCGAACGGGUGAGUAAUGCAUCGGGAUCUACCCAGACGUGGGGGAUAACCUCGGGAAACCGGGACUAAUACCGCAUACGUCCUACGGGAGAAAGCGGGGGCUCGCAAGACCUCGCGCGGCUGGACGAACCGAUGCGCGAUUAGCUGGUUGGUGGGGUAAAGGCCUACCAAGGCGACGAUCGCUAGCUGGUCUGAGAGGAUGAUCAGCCACAUUGGGACUGAGACACGGCCCAAACUCCUACGGGAGGCAGCAGUGGGGAAUAUUGGACAAUGGGCGCAAGCCUGAUCCAGCAAUGCCGCGUGUGUGAAGAAGGCCUUCGGGUUGUAAAGCAC
RNAcentral lists this ribosomal RNA (386 nucleotides) under uncultured organism. RNAcentral describes it as "bacterial SSU rRNA". It matches the Rfam family "Bacterial small subunit ribosomal RNA", at positions 45 to 433 of the family's 1533-position model. The record is from RNAcentral.